Paramuricea clavata is the source of this 667-nucleotide non-coding RNA. NCBI's taxonomy places the organism in Eukaryota, Metazoa, Cnidaria, Anthozoa, Malacalcyonacea, Plexauridae. The record is from the annotation of a GenBank genome assembly.
AAUUUAGUCAAUUUUGUGGUCAAUUUUGUGUUGUUUGGAAAAGUUGUGUGAUGUUCCGAAAAAUUUUGUUAUGUCCGGAAAAAUUUUUUUGACCUCUAAAAAGGUAUACUGACCGAAAUUUUUUUGGCGACGGGGGGGGGGGUACAUAACAGUGAAUUUUUCAUAAUUAUGAGGACAGAGCAGAUGAUGAUGAAAGACGCAAGUAUAAAACACCAUUCACAAGACUAGAUGUUAACAUAGUACAGUAUUUCUGGCAAUAAAACGCUCCAACUGACCAACUGACCAUUUCACACGAACUUUUAUCGCUGGAUAAUUUUGCGAGUUUUCAUCCAAUUCAAUCAUAUAUAUGCUCAAAAUCUUCGCGGUACGUUUCUCUUUACCACAAAAUUUGACCGAAUAAGUUUCAAAACAAUGCGACGGCAAAAAAUGCAAAAAUCUUGAUUUUCGUAAUAGAAUCUAUAGUCUUUUUGCCCUCUUGUACCGCCAUCUUGGAUUUGUCAUGUAGGCCCCGCCUGCGCCUAGGUAUGCGUUAGCAAUCUAGAUCUCCUAUAUCUAUGUGCUAUACUGUCUGCUUUGGGUAAACAACAUUGGAGGGGGAGGGGGAGUAGUGGCGUGCUGGAUCCUGUUCGUCAGGGGAGGCCAGCUGACCGCCGUUCCUUCCAAAUUU